Molecule: non-coding RNA, 742 nt
Organism: Oryza sativa Japonica Group (Japanese rice)
Lineage: Eukaryota; Viridiplantae; Streptophyta; Magnoliopsida; Poales; Poaceae
Source: RefSeq, a predicted model, not a curated record
AAUUAGGUCCUCCGCCUCUCCGUCACUAGCGACCUCACCACCGGCCAUGGAGGUGACGACUAUCGCCAUCUCCGUUUGAGUCAAGCCACCGGAACGUGACCACGCCAACGACGCCCUGGAGCACGCACCGGAGCGCCGCCGCUUAGACAUCGUUGUCGUCCGGCCAUUCUCGUCCAUCCCGAAGCAAGCCGCUGUGCCAAGAAUCUCGCCUCGACCACCUCUUCAAGACGCCUCAAGAACCCCAGCCGGAAACAUCAAGAACACGGAGAACACAUCCUUUUCUUCCUCGACGCCGAUCCGAACUCGCCUCCACCGUCAUCGUCGAUUACCACUGCCUCGCUCGUCGUCCCGUUUGAGCCGUCGCCGUUCACCCGAGGAGGAGCGUCGCCGUCGAACCGUUCCAACUGAAGCCGCUGCUAUCCAAGCUUCGGAGAUUUCUUCCUACAGCUUGGUUUAGUCUUAGUCUUUAAGUGAUGCGGGUUCCGAUUGCUUCUUCUAGGAUGAGAACUUAAUGGGGUAAACCCCUAGUCGGUGUGCUUGUGAUUGGGUAGUCAAGCUUCCGUUGUUCUCUAAAUAAGUCUAUUUGGCCGGUCGGCCUAUGUAAUUAUUAUGUUGUUGUAAGUCUUAAGUUUCUUUCAUGUUAGUUGUGUUUACUAUGUAUAAUCAUGCUUAAGAUGAAAGUGUGGAUCUAGUGCCCAUCCGGGGAACUAGAUUCAUAUGAGUAUGAGUUAGGAAUAUUUGA